RNAcentral lists this unclassified non-coding RNA (336 nucleotides) under soil metagenome. RNAcentral describes it as "partial contains 5.8S ribosomal RNA, internal transcribed spacer 2, and large subunit ribosomal RNA". The stretch from base 1 to 120 matches the Rfam family "5.8S ribosomal RNA", at positions 35 to 154 of the family's 154-position model. The record is from RNAcentral.
GAUGAAGAACGUAGCGAAAUGCGAUAAGUAGUGUGAAUUGCAGAAUUCAGUGAAUCAUCGAAUCUUUGAACGCACAUUGCGCCCCUUGGUAUUCCAUGGGGCAUGCCUGUUCGAGCGUCAUUUCAACCCUUAAGCCUAGCUUAGUGUUGGGAAUCUGCUGUAUUGCAGUUCCUCAAAUACAACGGCGGAUCUGUAACAUCCUCUGAGCGUAGUAAAUUUUUAUCUCGCUUUUGUUAGGUGUUGCAGCUCUCAGCCGCUAAACCCCCCAAUUUUUGUGGUUGACCUCGGAUCAGGUAGGAAUACCCGCUGAACUUAAGCAUAUCAAUAAGCGGAGGA